CAAUAUAAUAAUAAUAAUCAAACAGAACUGGUAUUUCAAGAAAACAGAAAUUGUGCAAAAAAAGAAUGGACAGCAAUAGCAAUAGGACAGAAAAUAGCAAGCACAAAGAUAAGCGAAAGAAAGCUAUGUAGCUGUAAAUCCCUAACAAGGGUCUUUCGCAAAUGCGCGAGUUCAAGUCUCUGAGUGCAUCUGAUGCGAAUCACAUUCAAAAAAGCAUCUGCAAACAAUUAUAAUGCAAUUUCAUUUACAUAUAUAUAUACACAUAAAUAUAUAUCCAAGUUAUAUAAUUGCAAUAAUUUA
Calliphora vicina (urban bluebottle blowfly) is the source of this 300-nucleotide long non-coding RNA. RefSeq lists it as uncharacterized. The record is from RefSeq and is a predicted model, not a curated record. NCBI's taxonomy places the organism in Eukaryota, Metazoa, Arthropoda, Insecta, Diptera, Calliphoridae. The transcript is spliced from 2 exons.